Molecule: long non-coding RNA, 2667 nt
Organism: Adelges cooleyi (spruce gall adelgid)
Lineage: Eukaryota; Metazoa; Arthropoda; Insecta; Hemiptera; Adelgidae
Exons: 3
Source: RefSeq, a predicted model, not a curated record
AAAAGUUAAUAGAAUAUACUCUACAUUUUAAAAAACUUAAAUUUUGAAGUUUUAAAAACGAAGUAAACUUUAUUUACCCAAAAAGGUAAAAAAUAACGAAUAAAGCUAGAAUUAGUUACAUUCACUCAUUUCGCUAAAUUUGGAUACGCCAGAGACUAUGUAUAGUAUCAAGUUGAAAAUACGUUAAUUUUAGUGGGUUAUUUUAGAUUAAGAAAGUAGAAGAAAUGAACUAGAAAAACGCAUCGAGUCAAUAUCGAGUCAAAACACAAAGCAUAUUAAAUAUAAAAAAAUGUCCAGUAUCGAUGCGGAGCUGAGAGUGUAUUGAUUUUACAAAUUUGGUCUCACAUUCUUUUGUUUUUUGUGUGUUUAAAAACGCUUAACAAAGCACAAUUAUUGUAGAAAAUAUUACAAUCAGUAAAUAUUGUCUGCCAAGAACAGCCUAAAAUAAUAAUAGAAGAAAGUUACUUUUUCAAACAAGUUUAAUAAGAUACCUAAAUCAAUUAUAUUGUGUUAAAUAAUAUUAAUAUUAUGCUAUAUAAUAUAUAACAGUUUAUAGAAAAUAUUUGUUUACACAGUUUUCGAUUUAAGCAUAUGUUUGUUCAUUUUAGUCAAGAAAAUAAAAAGUAAAUUUAUAUGGAUACAUAUAUUUCUAUCAACUUACAUAAAUACUUAAUACAUUGGUAUCUAUUGGUAAUGUUUGUACAAUCUUCAACUACUCAAUUUUUAACAGUGAAACUAAAUUGCCAAAUUUAAUAACAUGUUGAGUGCGUAUAAAAACACAUUGGUUUCACUAAAUGUCUUUGUGCAAGUGUAUAUAUGAUUGAUCAGUUAAACGAUAGUAAUAUUUAAAACAUUUUAAGGAAACUAAUAAAAAUAUAUUAAAUCUGAAUUAAAUUCCAAGUAAAAAAAAUUGCAAAUAAUAACAAACACGUGUGCUUUUGCUUGAUGACUUUUGAGAGUAUCUUGGCGACCAUAUGAUUUAUCACAGACUGAGCAUUUGUGUUGUACCCCACCAAUAUGUAUCCGUGCAUGUCUCUUGAGAUGAGAUUGUUGACGAAAUGUUUUUUCACAAACAACACAUUUAUAAGGUUUCUCACCGGUAUGUCUUCUUUCGUGAGUUUUGAAGUUAGAUUGUAUAUUAAAACAUUUUUUACAGACAUCGCAUUUAUAUGGUUUCUAACUGGUAUGUAUGCGUUCAUAAAUUAUGACUAUUAUAAUAUAAUAUUGACUGAAUGCUUUAUCACAGAAACGGCAUUUAAAUGGUCUCUCGCCGGUAUGAACGCGUCAAUGUCUUCUCAGGCUUGAUUUUAAUGAAAAUAGGCCAUCUUUGUUUGGAUUAUUUCUUUUGAUUUUGCAGAUACAAUGAUUGACUUUAUUUUUUUGAGGUGUUAUCGUGGGGUAUAUCGUACCCCACCAAUAUGUAUCCGUGCAUGUCUCUUGAGAUGAGAUUGUUGACGAAAUGUUUUUUCACAGACAUCGCAUUUAAACGGUUUUACGCUGACAUCGCAUUUAAACGGUUUCUCGCCGGUAUGAAUACGUGCAUGGUACUUGAGAUGAAUUUGUUGAUUGAAUGUUUUUUCACAGACAACGCAUUUAUAUGGUUUCUCACCGGCACGGCAUUUAAAUGGUUUCUCCCCGGUAUGAACGCGCCAAUGUCUUCUCAGGCUUGAUUUUAAUAAAAACGUUUUCAAACAAAUUCCACAUUUAAAUAAGCCAUCUAUGUUUAGAGUAUUUCCUUUGAUUUUCCUGUUACGAUGAGUGACUUUUUUUUUAAGAGGUGUUUUAUUUCCAAUGGAAGUACUGGAAUGCGAUUUCGCAAUAUGCCGAAUUAUACUAUUUUUGGUUGUAAACCUCCUUUGACAUAUAUUGCAGUCGAACCGACGUAUUUUGUACAUAUUUUUCUUAGAAUUGUUUUUUAUAGUUUCAAUAAAAUUGCAAUCUUUGGUUUUUGUAUUUUUUGAGGUAUCGGUCGCAUUACACGAAAAAUGAAUACUGCAACACGUAUGAAACAAAACAGAUUAAUUUAGGACAAAUAUUGAUGUUAUGCAGCAAGCAUUAAUAUUACUAAUAUUAAAUGUACAAUCCAUCAUACACGCAUCCUUUUUAAGAAUUAAUUUUAUUGAUUUUACAAGAUAUACAAAGAUCUUCUAUUACUUAUCGAGUUGCCUGAACUUAUUAUACAUAAUACAAUGUAACGUUCACAUUUAUUAGAAUAUGAACAAUAAACAUCCGAGUGCCAUAAGAUUUAAAACUUAAAAAGUGUACUCUAUCUAAAGUCCACUUUUACAUAGAGUACCUUGAGACUUUUUAUGACCGACGUCUUUUAACCUUAAACUUGACAGAAAUAAUAAUAAAUUCUCAUAAACGACUAAACUAUAUUUUUGACAUGGAUAUGUCUUUUGGCUUGGGGACAUAAAGAAAAUCUUUGCGUGCAUGCUUGAAUGACGCUGAACGCUACCGAGGAAAAUGUGUGCGUGUGGCGCGAUUAAGCGGAUGUUUUGUGAAUGAAACAGCUGAUAAACAAUAUUUAAUGCCUGGCUAAAAAUUAGAGAUAUGCGAUUAGAGAUAUUAUAGAUAAGAUAUAAAAUGUAGAGAUAUAGAUAUCAGAAAUAAAAUAUGAGAGAUAAGAAACGAGACAUAUCCAUAUAAUAAAUACCUCUUUGAAAA